GGUGGCUGCAAGGCGGGCCUCCAGAGUGAAACGAUGUGGACAGCUGACGACGCACAUUUCGGAGGACGCAUGUGUUUAUCUUCUUCUUUCCCGAGUCAGCGCGGGGGUGGCAGCGAUGGGCCGGGUUGAAAUAAAAAAUAAUUAGGCAUUUCAAAUUGGGGAGAAAAUAAGAAAAAUAACUGGUGAUUCCAAAUUUAAAAUAAAUAAAUAAAUACCUUUAUUGAUCAAUGCCCUGGGUCAGUCAAAGAGCCAUAGACAUGGCCUGAGCUGAAAAAAAAAAACUGAAGAGAAGAUUACUCAGAACUACUCUGCGCAACACGCACAGGAGGAGGACCAUCCAGACAGGUGGAACGGACCAGCCUGGAAAAGAACAUUGAGAACAUCUUCACCCCAGAACAACUAGAAGGUGUGCAGGGCAUCACUGACACCACGAGACGUAAAGAUGACUCUCAACCAGAUAUAUGCCAGCGUCAUAAUGUGGAGGCCUAAAAGGGUCAGAAAAUGCAUGAAUGCCAGUGAUUUGCAACAGGUUUAGGAUUGCUCAUUCAGAUGUCAGCUGCAUGACUCAGGGUUUGUUUUGUUUUGUAAUGGAAGGAUUCCCCAUAAUUCAUAAAAAAAACAAGAUUUAGAAAUAAUGUCUGAAGGACGCUUGUGCAGCUUCACUGAAGAAGAAAGCAGGGUUUUAAUAUCUAUCUGGAGCAAAGGCAGGAUCCAACAAGCACUGAAUGAGCAGCAGAAAAAACUACAGUCGUCACUACAGCAGGGCGUCAGGUUCUUUUUUUUUUUUUCCCCCUCAAAGUAGAGUCUGCUCCCCCCACUGUUUCAAGCAAGUGUAAACGCACCGUUCUGGUACAGACUGUCCCAGAAUCUUAUCGGAAAGAUUCCGGAACGCUAGUGUAAACGCACCUAAUAUUUGGAUUGUCCUCCCCAUUCCAGUUAUUAACAGAGUGCUGUCUCAUAUUGAAUGUAAUAAGGCAAUGGGAACCUUAAUUAUCCCUAAGUGGGGGUCUGCGCCAUUUGGGCCAUGUCUGUGUACCAAUACUGGACAUUGUUGAUUUCCGUGUUUUAUCUGAUGAUUGUCAGAAUUUAAUUCCUGGUAUUCACUACAAAGGGUUAAUUGGCAGAAUUCCCUGUAAAUUUGAUUUCAUUGUCCUGAAAUGUGUUUUUAAAUCUAAUCAUUUAUAGAAUUAAAUCAGUACAGGUUAUGUGGUUUGUGUU
Long non-coding RNA from Acipenser ruthenus (sterlet), 1218 nucleotides. RefSeq lists it as uncharacterized. The record is from RefSeq and is a predicted model, not a curated record. The transcript is spliced from 3 exons. Lineage: Eukaryota; Metazoa; Chordata; Actinopteri; Acipenseriformes; Acipenseridae.